UGGGGAAUCUUGCACAAUGGGGGCAACCCUGAUGCAGCGACGCCGCGUGAGCGAUGAAGCCCUUCGGGGCGUAAAGCUCUUUCGACCGGAACGAUAAUGACGGUACCGGGAGAAGAAGCUGCGGCUAACUACGUGCCAGCAGCCGUGGUAAUACGUAGGCAGCAAGCGUUGUUCGGAGUUACUGGGCGUAAAGAGUGCGUAGGCGGUUUUCUAAGUUCGGUGUGAAAUCUCCCGGCUUAACUGGGAGGGUGCGCCGAAGACUGGGAAGCUGGAGUGUGGGAAAGGCAGGCGGAAUUCCUGGUGUAGCGGUGAAAUGCGUAGAUAUCAGGAGGAACACCGGCGGUGUAGACGGCUUGCUAGACCAUAACUGACGCUGAGGCACGAAAGCGUGGGUAGCAAACA
RNAcentral lists this ribosomal RNA (402 nucleotides) under uncultured bacterium. RNAcentral describes it as "bacterial SSU rRNA". It matches the Rfam family "Bacterial small subunit ribosomal RNA", at positions 355 to 774 of the family's 1533-position model. The record is from RNAcentral.